CGGCGACUCGCCGAAUGAGUUUCUGACCUAUCAACUCGAGACGGCGGGGGUAGAGGCCCGCCGCGGUAACGACGGGUAACGGGGAAUCAGGGUUCGAUUCCGGAGAGGGAGCCCGAGAAACGGCUACCACUUCCAAGGAAGGCAGCAGGCGCGCAACUUACCCUAAUCUCGAUUCGAGGAGGUAGUGACAAGAAAUACCGAUGCGGGACCCUACGGGUGCCGCGUUGGAAUGAGUACGAUUCGAACCACCUAACGAGGAACGAUCGGAGGGCAAGUCUGGUGCCAGCAGCCGCGGUAAUUCCAGCUCCAAUAGCGUACGUUAAAGUUGCUGCAGUUAAAAAGCUCGUAGUUGAACGUUCGGGUUCCGCGGGACGGGGCCGCCCCGCGAGGGACGGCGCCGCCCCGGGGCUCGUGAUAUCUUAUCUCGCCGCCCGUCGCGAGGCGGACGGAGGGAUGGAUGAGGUUACCUGGAAAAAAUCGGGG
This 483-nucleotide ribosomal RNA is filed under the name uncultured eukaryote. Its description in RNAcentral is "bacterial SSU rRNA". It matches the Rfam family "Eukaryotic small subunit ribosomal RNA", at positions 285 to 771 of the family's 1831-position model. The record is from RNAcentral.